Molecule: long non-coding RNA, 3123 nt
Organism: Columba livia (rock pigeon)
Lineage: Eukaryota; Metazoa; Chordata; Aves; Columbiformes; Columbidae
Exons: 3
Source: RefSeq, a predicted model, not a curated record
GUUAAUUUUUACUAAAGAUCCUUAAAACGUAGCAAAAAAAAAAAAACAAACACACAAAUUUUUCUCAUAGAAAUCUGUUUACCAAUACUUAAAAGAACAGAUGUUGUUCCCUUUGGAGUUCACUUCUCACCAUGCUGAAUUCUUCACUCCUGCCUUCGCACAGAAGAAGAGGGAACCCAGGUGAGAAAGCAAAGCAGAGCCCUUUGAUGUAGAUAAAAAUACAGCCACUGAAGCAUAAAGGCAGAGAGAAGAGCAGAGUACAGAUUGACUCCUUCCUCUCUCACCCUCCCACCUGCCCCAAAAGUGAAUUCCUGAGACAUUAGCUUUCCCAAUGCAUUAAAUAAGAAGGAAAGACCCAGGGCAGGUUAGUGACGCAGUUCUCAUGAUUUCUGACACAAAGCUAACCCUGCUUUUGGGCUGAAAAACGGGGAGAUCCAAAGAGACUGGCAGAUUACAGAAAUUAUGAUAGAAACGUUGCUAUUCAUGCUCAGAAGCCACAGCGUUUGGCAGUUUUACAAAAUGUUAUUUUGUGAUUGAGAUUUAAGAGUUAUUUUAUGUCAGCAUUUUAUUUUUCAAACAAUUAAAAAUAUGCUGUGAAGAGAGGAGAUUAUGGGAGAUCUUUCGUGACUGUAACUGGAAUUCUGUGCCAAGAAAGAGGAGGUGUGGUUUCCCAAAUGAUUUUGGAUUCAGAUUUUUCUUUAAGUAGCACAUGAAGUUUUGGAUGCUGUCAGGAUGGAACUGGCAUGUUGUCAGGAAAGCGUCUGGCUACAUUAUAUAGGCAAAAUUUGUUACCUUUAACUCCUGCUGGCAACAGACCUUCUCAAAGGGAUUUCGGAGGAUGUCUCUCUGUUGCAAAUCAGUGUUGGAAGAGUUACAGAAAGCAUCUCCCACAGGUGUUGAGUGUUCCUGGCAGGGUAGUUGUUUCCCUUGUACAGCAACAAAUUAGCUAUUAGCAUCUGAACUAGUGGUAUUAGGAACUCUUAACAUGCAGUGGAGAAAAGGGGGGAUUUUUAGGUACUGUCAACUUCGGAACUAGACAUGCUGUCUAGUUUAGAGCAGACUCCGGAGGAAUGAGGAAAUGUGAAGGCUGGUGACAACUCCCUCCUUCCCUCUGUCACCACAAAGAACUAACACAAGAAUGCCUAUCUGAAUCCUGUUAACAUCAUAAACAUUUGGAUAACAGCUGACUUUUCUGUACAGCCUUCGAAAACUGCACUUUCUACUCCCUGAAACCAACUCCUGAAAAAUGUUUUCUGCAUUCCCACAAGUCCUAAUUGCAGGGGAUUUCAGACGAGCUGUCCUUUUUGUCUACAUUGUUCUGAUCCUUUUCACUCACAUAGGUUUUCCUUAGGCAAAACAUACAUUUAAUGUACAAUGCAGAACCAACUGGGAAGAGCAAAAAUUUGAGCUGAUUUAUUUUUUUACCUUUUGAAAAGCGAAGUAACAAAAUUCUGGGAUACUCGCACUGCUUCAGCAUCAUCACAGACAUGCUGCUGCUAAGCUAGUCCAGGUCUCAAAGCAGUGAGAGGACAAUUGUGUCUGCAGGAGCAUCUGUCUGAGAAUAGGAGUGAAUUUGGACAACAGAUGUCAAAGUUGUUGGGAGACAAUGAAGAGACAAUAAAAACAACCAAAAUUGGUUUAAUGUCACUAGGAAGGCUGUGUCAUUUUUCAGUUUUUUAAAUCUCUGACAGUGGGUAGUAGGCUGUGGGCAUAGAUUCUUCAUUUCUAAUAAGAGGAGAAAAAGUAAACCAAUAUUUAAAAGAAUCAUUAGGGAAUAAGGAUCGAACUGAGAUUUGGAGGAAAAAUUUAUUAUAAUGCAAAUAUUCAAUUUUAGUGAGUGAGAUAUUUAAAGGAACUUACAUGGUGUUACUCUAGAAAGUUAAUGUCCUCUUUAUUCUAGAAAGUAAUGAACAUGAAACAGAAGUUCCUAGUAAUGGUUUAGUCUGGAAACGAGCUGCAUUUGUCAAAAGCUUGUGCCAGCUUUUCUGUUCCACUGAUUCCAGCUCUAGCUGUCUAUCAUCACUGCCAGAAACAUUUUUUUCUGUGUGCUCUGUCAUUCUCUUGCUUGAUAAAAGUAUAAAAACCCAAACCCACCAUAUAUUUUACUGGGCUAUUGGAAUAUGGUGCUUAGCAAAGGUUAGUGUGGAUUUUUAGAAAACUGAUAUAUAUAUGUUGUUAUGUUUUCUGAGUUUGUUUUUUAUCCUCUGAAAUCACUUGAAAUGUAAAAUAUCUAAAAUAUUUUUUAAUAAAAGUCUUAUAAACAAAACAGAAAGUAGUUCCCACUUACCUUUCCCCAUGCAGUUCUGGUAUAAUGGAAAUAAGUUUUUUGGCUCAGCUCAUUAGUACCUAUCCCUGACCAAUACUUAUCUGUUUUUGAUGAAUGAGUACGUCAAAAUUAUGUUGUACAGAUGUAUUGCAAGUGAUUAUGGAGAGAAAAUGGUAUCAGGCUUGUGUAGUUUACCAGUCUAAAAACCAGUGAUGUCGUUAAUAAUCUCCAGAUAAACAAGCUCAGAAAGCUUCUAACAAGUGUGUUUUAGCUGUUUUGCUAGGAAGUGCCUUCAUUUGCAAUUCUAACAGUACAGAACAUUGACAGUAGAUUGUGAAUAUAUUUCUAUGCUUCUGUAGCAAUAGCUUUACGGCCAAAUAGUGCUUAAAAGUUUCAGGGUGAAUGUUAUUUUCUUAGUAUUAUCUGCAAUUAAAAGAGCCUUCAGAUAUAAUCAUUUUCUUUGCCCUGUAGGGAAAUUUUAAUCCCACCACAUUUCAAGCUUCCUUUUUCUUAAAACAACUUACAGUGAGAAUAGUAUUCUGUGAAAAACAUUUUUUUGGAUCACCUCUCUGACUGCACAUUUUAAAAUAAAAAGCUGAGUAAUUGUCCAUCCUGAGAUUGUUCUUCUCCCACUAGCCACCAAAAUUCUGGAUGCACCUUGUCUUUUUAUUUUAUCUUUUGUUUUUAAAUCACAUGUUUUGCAACUUGCCAGUGCUGGUGAUGACACUAAGAAGUAAGGAGAAUGGUUGGCACCUAUAGAGCACAACAGGGAUAAAACUGGGUGCAGAUAUUACAUUUAGUGGAUUUACCACCCUUGUUGAUAUUCAAAAGCCAUUUGUACAAGGUUCUGCACAACC